UACGAAGGGUGCAAGCGUUACUCGGAAUUACUGGGCGUAAAGCGUGCGUAGGUGGUUUGUUAAGUCUGAUGUGAAAGCCCUGGGCUCAACCUGGGAAUGGCAUUGGAAACUGGCGACCUAGAGUGCGGUAGAGGGUAGUGGAAUUCCCGGCGUAGCAGUGAAAUGCGUAGAGAUCGGGAGGAACAUCUGUGGCGAAGGCGACUACCUGGACCAGCACUGACACUGAGGCACGAAAGCGUGGGGAGCAAACAGG
RNAcentral lists this ribosomal RNA (253 nucleotides) under uncultured bacterium. RNAcentral's name for it is "partial 16S ribosomal RNA". It matches the Rfam family "Bacterial small subunit ribosomal RNA", at positions 524 to 776 of the family's 1533-position model. The record is from RNAcentral.